Molecule: ribosomal RNA, 455 nt
Filed under: uncultured organism
Description: bacterial SSU rRNA
Rfam family: Bacterial small subunit ribosomal RNA
Source: RNAcentral
GCGCAGCAGUCGAGAAUUUUUCUCAAUGGGGGAAACCCUGAAGGAGCGACGCCGCGUGGAGGAUGAAGGCUUUCGGGUUGUAAACUCCUGUCAUUUGGGAACAAGGUGCACACGUUAACUGCGUAGGUAUUGAUAGUACCAGAAGAAGAAGGGACGGCUAACUCUGUGCCAGCAGCCGCGGUAAUACAGAGGUCCCAAGCGUUGUUCGGAUUCAUUGGGCGUAAAGGGUGCGUAGGUGGCGCUGUAAGUCGGGUGUGAAAUUUCGAGGCUUAACCUCGAAACUGCAUUCGAUACUGCGGUGCUUGAGGACUGGAGAGGAGACUGGAAUUCAUGGUGUAGCAGUGAAAUGCGUAGAGAUCAUGAGGAAGACCAGUGGCGAAGGCGGGUCUCUGGACAGUUCCUGACACUGAGGCACGAAGGCCAGGGGAGCAAACGGGAUUAGAUACCCCCGUAGU